GCGAAUGCCGUUCGCCCGACCUACGGUCGGAC
This 32-nucleotide non-coding RNA is filed under the name Geobacter sulfurreducens PCA. The record is from RNAcentral. Lineage: Bacteria; Pseudomonadati; Thermodesulfobacteriota; Desulfuromonadia; Geobacterales; Geobacteraceae.